CAAGAUAAAGCUAAAGUUUAGCGUUUCACUUACGUUGAAAAGGUUGUCGUUAUUCGACUUGUUUUGA
RNAcentral lists this transfer RNA (67 nucleotides) under Cherax cartalacoolah. RNAcentral describes it as "tRNA-Val". Lineage: Eukaryota; Metazoa; Arthropoda; Malacostraca; Decapoda; Parastacidae. The record is from RNAcentral.